This 605-nucleotide long non-coding RNA is filed under the name Salmo salar (Atlantic salmon). RNAcentral's name for it is "lncRNA (ENSSSAG00000096726.1)". Lineage: Eukaryota; Metazoa; Chordata; Actinopteri; Salmoniformes; Salmonidae. The record is from RNAcentral.
CCCCUUUUGACCUCCUCCUUUUCCGCAGCAACCAAUGAUCCGGGUCACGGCACCAAUGUAACAGUGCCUGUGCAUGCUGACUGGACGAGGGGAGGCCAAGACAGGGACUGUAGUUGGCUGCUCGGUGCCCAGUCAUAUUUUCCUGCAGAGCUUUCAUGAUCCAAGACGCCUCUGAGGAGCUGGCUGAGUGUGGGAACAGCAUCACGAUCAUACGGGGGAGAAGACAGUGACGGGAAGGCCUCCACAAACACUUUGUUCUGAAAGAUGGAAAUAAUGGAAAAUGAAGAAAAAAUGUGUAUGUCUAUCAUUUCCAGUCAGUCCCAUGGACCAUGUACUCCUGGAGAUAUAAGAAUAUGCAAUAAAUUGACUCCUUGUCUUUUGUAGUCACUUCUGAGGAAAGCUGGAAAGAUUUAAAGGCCUACCACAUUUUGCGUGGCAGAGAAUCUGCCCCUUGUCUCCUCCACAGCAUUUGUGGGCCACCACUGUUCUCUUGUGUCUUGCCCUUCUCCCGCUGUAUCCUUUGGGAAGGCUGUCCAGGCAUCCUCUGAUUGUUGGAAUGAGCUGUCUGUCCAACCUGAGGUCCAAUGGGUAGACUCAUUGGUGAU